GGGGAGUACGGCCGCAAGGUUAAAACUCAAAUGAAUUGACGGGGGCCCGCACAAGCGGUGGAGCAUGUGGUUUAAUUCGAUGCAACGCGAAGAACCUUACCUGGUCUUGACAUCCACGGAAGUUUUCAGAGAUGAGAAUGUGCCUUCGGGAACCGUGAGACAGGUGCUGCAUGGCUGUCGUCAGCUCGUGUUGUGAAAUGUUGGGUUAAGUCCCGCAACGAGCGCAACCCUUAUCCUUUGUUGCCAGCGGUCCGGCCGGGAACUCAAAGGAGACUGCCAGUGAUAAACUGGAGGAAGGUGGGGAUGACGUCAAGUCAUCAUGGCCCUUACGACCAGGGCUACACACGUGCUACAAUGGCGCAUACAAAGAGAAGCGACCUCGCGAGAGCAACCGGACCUCAUAAAGUGCGUCGUAGUCCGGAUUGGAGUCUGCAACUCGACUCCAUGAAGUCGGAAUCGCUAGUAAUCGUGGAUCAGAAUGCCACGGUGAAUACGUUCCCGGGCCUUGUACACACCGCCCGUCACACCAUGGGAGUGGGUUGCAAAAGAAGUAGGUAGCUUAACCUUCGGGAGGGCGCUUACCA
This 584-nucleotide ribosomal RNA is filed under the name Escherichia coli. RNAcentral describes it as "bacterial SSU rRNA". It matches the Rfam family "Bacterial small subunit ribosomal RNA", at positions 875 to 1459 of the family's 1533-position model. The record is from RNAcentral. Lineage: Bacteria; Pseudomonadati; Pseudomonadota; Gammaproteobacteria; Enterobacterales; Enterobacteriaceae.